This 564-nucleotide long non-coding RNA is filed under the name Coffea arabica (coffee). Its description in RNAcentral is "long non-coding RNA (CARA_LNC005759)". The record is from RNAcentral. Lineage: Eukaryota; Viridiplantae; Streptophyta; Magnoliopsida; Gentianales; Rubiaceae.
AUUUAUUUCAGGGAGUAGAACAAAAAUAUGAUAAUAAGUACCAAUUUGGCAGGAAAGGAGCCCAAGUGAUAGAGCUUGCCCCAGGGGCAUUUUUGGAAAAGAAGAUGUCACGCCCAUUUCGGUAAUUUCUGCAGAGGAAUGACGGACGAAGGGUUUCUUUCUCCUAAGAGCCGCCGCACAUCUGACGGCUGGCUUUAUCUUGAGUCUCUCGUCUGUAGCUUAAAGGAGAAAGGCUGGACUUUUCCCUUGGGGGGGGGCCUUUGGCUCGAAAAAAACCUCCUGCGGGCAUGGCAGGAGCAAAAGACAACUUAGCUUAGCUUUUGGUCUCCCUGGCAUGUCAGGAAGCAUUUUGGUAGCUUUAGCUUUGACUUUUCCUUUUAGCCUUGAGUAGUUUUCUUUUCUCCGUAUGUUAGGAGAAGCAAAAACAAUGGAUACUUCCAGUAGCUUUUCUUUUCAGUCAGUAUUCCAUCGGAUCGAAUUUGUACAUUUUCCAAUUGAUGGCUGCAGUUUCCUCUUCAAUUUUGCGUGGGAUUUGUUCACCAAAAUGAACUAAUUCCCUUUUUC